This is a non-coding RNA of Mycena rosella, 95 nucleotides long. NCBI's taxonomy places the organism in Eukaryota, Fungi, Basidiomycota, Agaricomycetes, Agaricales, Mycenaceae. The record is from the annotation of a GenBank genome assembly.
GACCUCAUGGCUUAGCGGUUAUAGCACCGGCUUACCUUUAUGCCUUGUUAGAAAUAGUUAUGCCGUCGGCGUGGGUUCGAAUCCCACUGAGGUCA